AGCAGUGUGUCGUAGUGGUAAGGAGCAGGGCUUGUAACCACAGGGUUGCUGGUUCGAUUCCACGCUGGGACACUGCUG
This is a non-coding RNA of Megalops atlanticus (tarpon), 78 nucleotides long. Lineage: Eukaryota; Metazoa; Chordata; Actinopteri; Elopiformes; Megalopidae. The record is from the annotation of a GenBank genome assembly.